Molecule: ribosomal RNA, 257 nt
Filed under: uncultured Leptotrichia sp.
Lineage: Bacteria; Fusobacteriati; Fusobacteriota; Fusobacteriia; Fusobacteriales; Leptotrichiaceae
Description: partial 16S ribosomal RNA
Rfam family: Bacterial small subunit ribosomal RNA
Source: RNAcentral
CGGACGGGUGAGUAACGCGUAAAGAACUUGCCCUUUAGACUGGGAUAACAGAGGGAAACUUCUGAUAAUACUGGAUAAGUUAGUAUAUCGCAUGAUAUGCAAAAUGAAAGCUACGGCACUAAAGGAGAGCUUUGCGUCCUAUUAGCUAGUUGGUAAGGUAAGAGCUUACCAAGGCGAUGAUAGGUAGCCGGCCUGAGAGGGUGGACGGCCACAAGGGGACUGAGAUACGGCCCUUACUCCUACGGGAGGCAGCAGUA